RNAcentral lists this ribosomal RNA (163 nucleotides) under uncultured bacterium. RNAcentral describes it as "partial 16S rRNA". It matches the Rfam family "Bacterial small subunit ribosomal RNA", at positions 355 to 511 of the family's 1533-position model. The record is from RNAcentral.
UAGGGAAUCUUCCACAAUGGGCGAAAGCCUGAUGGAGCAACGCCGCGUGUGUGAUGAAGGGUUUCGGCUCGUAAACNCUGUUGUAAGAGAAGAAUGACAUUGAGAGUAACUGUUCAAUGUGUGACGGUAUCUUACCAGAAAGGAACGGCUAAAUACGUGCCAC